GUAGGGCCCAAGCCAGCCAGGAAGGAGGAGGCAGCCAGAGUGUUCUCUGCAGCAGAAGACCCCUUGCUGCCCUGCUUAACCCAGACCAGCAUUUGCCAGAUUUUAAAGGCACUGGAUCAGGCCAGACAUUCGGAGGAAUUUCCUGCCUAUGAGAGCUGUUUGAGAGUGAAACGGUCUGCCUUGUGGAGUGCUGAACUCACCUUUUUCUUUUCUCUUUUUUGAUUGAUUGAUUGAUUGAUUGAUUAAAUUGAUUGAUUGAUUAA
This is a long non-coding RNA of Hemicordylus capensis (graceful crag lizard), 263 nucleotides long. RefSeq lists it as uncharacterized. The record is from RefSeq and is a predicted model, not a curated record. NCBI's taxonomy places the organism in Eukaryota, Metazoa, Chordata, Lepidosauria, Squamata, Cordylidae. The transcript has 2 exons.